CCUGAUGGCUCAGAUGGUAAAGAAUCUGCCUACAGUGCAGGAGACCUGGGUUCGAUCCCAGGGUCAGGA
This 69-nucleotide transfer RNA is filed under the name Bos taurus (domestic cattle). It matches the Rfam family "tRNA". Rfam says of the family: Transfer RNA (tRNA) molecules are approximately 80 nucleotides in length. Their secondary structure includes four short double-helical elements and three loops (D, anti-codon, and T loops). Further hydrogen bonds mediate the characteristic L-shaped molecular structure. tRNAs have two regions of fundamental functional importance: the anti-codon, which is responsible for specific mRNA codon recognition, and the 3' end, to which the tRNAs corresponding amino acid is attached (by aminoacyl-tRNA synthetases). tRNAs cope with the degeneracy of the genetic code in two manners: having more than one tRNA (with a specific anti-codon) for a particular amino acid; and 'wobble' base-pairing, i.e. permitting non-standard base-pairing at the 3rd anti-codon position. The record is from Rfam by way of RNAcentral. RNAcentral also lists the same sequence under 4 other names. Lineage: Eukaryota; Metazoa; Chordata; Mammalia; Artiodactyla; Bovidae.